UACAGAGGUCUCAAGCGUUGUUCGGAUUCAUUGGGCGUAAAGGGUGCGUAGGUGGCGCGUUAAGUCCGUUGUGAAAGCCCUGGGCUCAACCCAGGAACUGCUUCGGAUACUGGCGCGCUUGAGGCUAGUAGGGGUCACUGGAACUGACGGUGGAGCGGUGAAAUGCGUAGAUAUCGUCAGGAACGCCAAUGGUGAAGACAGGUGACUGGGCUAGUUCUGACACUGAGGCACGAAAGCGUGGGGAGCGAACGGGG
This 254-nucleotide ribosomal RNA is filed under the name uncultured bacterium. RNAcentral describes it as "partial 16S ribosomal RNA". It matches the Rfam family "Bacterial small subunit ribosomal RNA", at positions 524 to 777 of the family's 1533-position model. The record is from RNAcentral.